Anguilla rostrata (American eel) is the source of this 773-nucleotide long non-coding RNA. RefSeq lists it as uncharacterized. Lineage: Eukaryota; Metazoa; Chordata; Actinopteri; Anguilliformes; Anguillidae. The transcript is spliced from 4 exons. The record is from RefSeq and is a predicted model, not a curated record.
AGGAGGCGGUAAUGAAAAGGCUGAUAGGAUCUUCACACGUCAAUACCGACAACAACGAGGAAUCGGAACGGCGUUCAAUUAAACCCUAAUUACCCGCGGCUGAGCACGGGGAGGAAACCGAGCACUAACAGGCCUGCUCUGCUCGGUGUGCGGUUUGGACAGCCAGACUCCAAGGCGGGUGUACGGAACUGAAGAGACACCCGGCUGUCCUCGUACCUGCUCCUGGAGGACCGCACCUUCUCACCUUUAAACCAGCGACCAACUCAGAACAAAGACACCAGGUGGGAUUUUUCAGGAUCUGAAGGACGGCGGAAGCUGGGGCAUUUUGGGAGCCCCCAGCCACGUGUCCCGGCCAAUCAGCGGUGAGAAAAUUUCUGCAGUGUAAUACAGCACUGGAACCUGUAGUUGAGAAGCAGUGAGGACAGAAGGAACGCAGGAGUUGAGUAUCUGGAAGUGCUGGUGGCCUGGUCUCCGGCUGGCCCCGUAGGUCCUGUGACAGAGCGAUAGCGGGUCUGAGUGGACAAUGCAGGAGAGCGCGCGCUCCGCCUCACAGUAGCGCCAGGCAUGCUGGGAAACCUUCUCAACCCGGCCCAGCUGUUUCACCACCGCCGGACGACCUCUGACCCCCCAUCUCCCCGCGUCUGCGCCGUCCAGCAAAACAUCCCCCCGCCCCCCCCCCCCCGAGGAGAGGGGCUGACGGGCCGAUUCCUGACUUCCGGAACGCCGCGGAGGCUGGGAUAACAGUCCCGGAGCGUUCCUCCCGGAGCGUUCCU